GACGAACGCUGGCGGCGUGCUUAACACAUGCAAGUCGAACGGUGAAGCGCCUUCCUUUUUGGUGGGUGUGGAUGAGUGGCGAACGGGUGAGUAACACGUGAGUAGCCUGCCCCCUUCUUCUGGAUAACCGCAUGAAAGUGUGGCUAAUACGGGAUAUUCUGGGUCUGUCGCAUGAUGGGUCUGGGAAAGAUAUUGUUUCGGUGGGGGAUGGGCUCGCGGCCUAUCAGCUUGUUGGUGGGGUGAUGGCCUACCAAGGCGGUGACGGGUAGCCGGCCUGAGAGGGUGGACGGUCACACUGGGACUGAGACACGGCCCAGACUCCUACGGGAGGCAGCAGUGGGGAAUAUUGCACGAUGGGCGCAAGCCUGAUGCAGCGACGCCGCGUGAGGGAUGGAGGCCGUCGGGUUGUGAACCUCUUUCGCCAGUGAAGCAGGCCUGCCUCGUUUGUGGGUGGGUUGACGGUAGCUGGAUAAGAAGCGCCGGCUAACUACGUG
This 494-nucleotide ribosomal RNA is filed under the name uncultured bacterium. RNAcentral describes it as "partial 16S ribosomal RNA". It matches the Rfam family "Bacterial small subunit ribosomal RNA", at positions 28 to 507 of the family's 1533-position model. The record is from RNAcentral.